AUGGACUCCAAGGCGGUGCCUUCAGGAAGGAUACGACAUUGGAGCGCCGCCACCGCCCGAUCCGAGGAUCAUAGUUUUCCUUGGAGCCGCACGACGCCUUCAAGAAGGGAACAAGCUUCGCCACCGCCUGUCCGUCCGAAGAUAGAACAGGUUUUCAUCCCGGCCAACACUCACCGCCACCAAACGCCACACCCCGACUACCACGCCACCCACACGGUCAUGGCCACCGGGCAGCACCAAGCCAUGGGCUCUGCCCAAGAGCACCGCGCCACCGCCACCAGGGCCGCCGCCCCGGCAUCCAAGACCUUGACACCACCUCACCCGAGACCGCCGCUACCCCAACCAAAGAGACGAGCGAAAAGGUCCAACCUUUCGCACCCCUGGGCGACCCCCAGUGUCGAGAUCCAAUAG
This 411-nucleotide ribosomal RNA is filed under the name Triticum aestivum (bread wheat). RNAcentral describes it as "partial small subunit ribosomal RNA". The record is from RNAcentral. Lineage: Eukaryota; Viridiplantae; Streptophyta; Magnoliopsida; Poales; Poaceae.